GAAUGUGAGGGCGAUCUGGCUGCGACAUCUGUCACCCCAUUGAUCGCCAGGGUUGAUUCGGCUGAUCUGGCUGGCUAGGCGGGUGUCCCCUUCCUCCCUCACCGCUCCAUGUGCGUCCCUCCCAAAGCUGCGCGCUCCCUCGAAGAGGACAACCAUCCCCGCUGACGGAGGACCAGUCUUUGGACAAGGGUAUACGAGUAGUUGCGCUCCCCUGCUGGAACCUCCAAAUAAGCUCUCAAGUCUGAAAUCAUGUUGCUAUCAUUU
Unclassified non-coding RNA from Ochotona princeps (American pika), 264 nucleotides. Its record names the gene 7SK. It matches the Rfam family "7SK RNA". Rfam says of the family: 7SK was discovered as an abundant small nuclear RNA in the mid-70s but a possible function has only recently been suggested. Two independent studies have found that 7SK RNA binds the CDK9/cyclin T complex (known as elongation factor P-TEFb). P-TEFb activates transcription by phosphorylating the C-terminal domain of RNA polymerase II. The record is from Ensembl. NCBI's taxonomy places the organism in Eukaryota, Metazoa, Chordata, Mammalia, Lagomorpha, Ochotonidae.